GACGAACGCUGGCGGCGUGCUUAACACAUGCAAGUCGAACGGAAAGGCCCUGCUUUUGUGGGGUGCUCGAGUGGCGAACGGGUGAGUAACACGUGAGUAACCUGCCCUUGACUUUGGGAUAACUUCAGGAAACUGGGGCUAAUACCGGAUAGGAGCUCCUGCUGCAUGGUGGGGGUUGGAAAGUUUCGGCGGUUGGGGAGGGACUCGCGGCUUAUCAGCUUGUUGGUGGGGUAGUGGCUUACCAAGGCUUUGACGGGUAGCCGGCCUGAGAGGGUGACCGGCCACAUUGGGACUGAGAUACGGCCCAGACUCCUACGGGAGGCAGCAGUGGGGAAUAUUGCACGAUGGGCGGAAGCCUGAUGCAGCAACGCCGCGUGCGGGAUGACGGCCUUCGGGUUGUAAACCGCUUUCGCCUGUGACGAAGCGUGAGUGACGGUAAUGGGUAAAGAAGCACCGGCUAACUACGUG
Molecule: ribosomal RNA, 468 nt
Filed under: uncultured bacterium
Lineage: Bacteria
Description: partial 16S ribosomal RNA
Rfam family: Bacterial small subunit ribosomal RNA
Source: RNAcentral